This 231-nucleotide long non-coding RNA is filed under the name Gallus gallus (chicken). Lineage: Eukaryota; Metazoa; Chordata; Aves; Galliformes; Phasianidae. The record is from RNAcentral.
AACAGCCCCUGGGAUGAGAAUCUUGCCAACCAGAGAGCAGGACAGAAACCUGGAAUCCUCCCCAUUCUGGAGAAUCAAACUAAGGACUGGCACUGAAAAUUUUCCCCAGGGACCUUCCAAAUUCCUAAGUCCCAUGCAACUGACAGCACAGUUAAGAUAUACUCCACAGCUCUCCUACUCCUGCAGCACCUGAAGUUUAGGAGCAUGUGAAUGAAAUACCUCACAUUCUCC